AAUAUAGAACAGCCUUUGUGCCGGAAACGGCGUAUCGGCCCGGCAAUGUUACUUUUGAGGCAGGACGGACGUGUGCUCUGUCAUGCGGGGAUGUGGAUCCUGUGCGACAAAGUUCUGUGAACCAUGUCAGGCGGGGAACCGAGCAGCAUUAAGCAGAGUGCUUUGUGUGCCGCAGGUCAUCUGCAUCCCCGCAUGAGAGGGCAGCUCGCCCGGCCUGCUGUUUU
RNAcentral lists this unclassified non-coding RNA (224 nucleotides) under Ruminococcaceae bacterium D5. RNAcentral describes it as "Bacterial large signal recognition particle RNA". The stretch from base 91 to 189 matches the Rfam family "Bacterial small signal recognition particle RNA". The record is from RNAcentral. Lineage: Bacteria; Bacillati; Bacillota; Clostridia; Eubacteriales; Oscillospiraceae.